RNAcentral lists this ribosomal RNA (500 nucleotides) under uncultured bacterium. RNAcentral's name for it is "partial 16S ribosomal RNA". It matches the Rfam family "Bacterial small subunit ribosomal RNA", at positions 30 to 523 of the family's 1533-position model. The record is from RNAcentral.
AUUGAACGCUGGCGGCAGGCUUAACACAUGCAAGUCGAGCGGGGGAAGGUAGCUUGCUACUGACCUAGCGGCGGACGGGUGAGUAAUGCUUAGGAAUCUGCCUAUUAGUGGGGGACAACAUCUCGAAAGGGAAGCUAAUACCGCAUACGUCCUACGGGAGAAAGCAGGGGAUCUUCGGACCUUGCGCUAAUAGAUGAGCCUAAGUCGGAUUAGCUAGUUGGUGGGGUAAAGGCCUACCAAGGCGACGAUCUGUAGCGGGUCUGAGAGGAUGAUCCGCCACACUGGGACUGAGACACGGCCCAGACUCCUACGGGAGGCAGCAGUGGGGAAUAUUGGACAAUGGGGGGAACCCUGAUCCAGCCAUGCCGCGUGUGUGAAGAAGGCCUUAUGGUUGUAAAGCACUUUAGGCGAGGAGGAGGCUACUUUAGUUAAUACCUAGAGAUAGUGGACGUUACUCGCAGAAUAAGCACCGGCUAACUCUGUGCCAGCAGCCGCCGUAA